RNAcentral lists this transfer RNA (77 nucleotides) under Acinetobacter baumannii 58452. Its description in RNAcentral is "tRNA-Met". It matches the Rfam family "tRNA". From Rfam's summary of the family: Transfer RNA (tRNA) molecules are approximately 80 nucleotides in length. RNAcentral also lists the same sequence under 1 other name. Lineage: Bacteria; Pseudomonadati; Pseudomonadota; Gammaproteobacteria; Moraxellales; Moraxellaceae. The record is from RNAcentral.
GGCUAUGUAGCUCAGUUGGUUAGAGCACCGCACUCAUAAUGCGGGGGUCACAAGUUAAAGUCUCGUCAUAGCCACCA